UACGAAGGGGGCUAGCGUUGUUCGGAAUUACUGGGCGUAAAGCGCACGUAGGCGGAUUGUUAAGUGAGGGGUGAAAUCCCAGGGCUCAACCCUGGAACUGCCUCUCAUACUGGCAGGCUAGAGUCUUGUAGAGGGGGUAGAAUUCCAGGUGUAGCGGUGAAAUGCGUAGAGAUCUGGAGGAACACCAGUGGCGAAGGCGACUUUCUGGUCUGUAACUGACGCUGAGGCGCGAAAGCGUGGGGAGCAAACAGG
RNAcentral lists this unclassified non-coding RNA (252 nucleotides) under uncultured Alphaproteobacteria bacterium. RNAcentral describes it as "contains 16S-23S intergenic spacer region". It matches the Rfam family "Bacterial small subunit ribosomal RNA", at positions 524 to 776 of the family's 1533-position model. The record is from RNAcentral. Lineage: Bacteria; Pseudomonadati; Pseudomonadota; Alphaproteobacteria.